RNAcentral lists this ribosomal RNA (403 nucleotides) under uncultured bacterium. RNAcentral describes it as "partial 16S ribosomal RNA". It matches the Rfam family "Bacterial small subunit ribosomal RNA", at positions 30 to 526 of the family's 1533-position model. The record is from RNAcentral.
AUUGAACGCUGGCGGCAGGCCUAACACAUGCAAGUCGAGCGAGCGGCGGACGGGUGAGUAAUGUAUGGGGACUGCCCGAUAGAGGGGGAUAACUACUGGAAACGGUGGCUAAUACCGAAUACUGGCGGAUAACCCAUAUGGGAUUAGCUAGUAUGUAAGUUAAUGGCUUACCUAGGCGACUAUCCCUAGCUGGUCUGAGAGGAUGAGCAGCCACACUUGGACUGAGACACGGCCCAGACUCCUACGGAGGCAGCAGUGGGGAGUAUUGCACAAUGGGCGCAAGCCUGAUGCAGCCAUGCCGCGUGUAUGAAGAAGGCCCUAGUGUUGUAAAGUACUUUCAGUCGGGAGGCGUUACCGACAGAAGAAGCACCGGCUAACUCCGUGCCAGCAGCCGCGGUAAUAC